GUGAUUUAUGCUAGCUUGAUGAAUUUUGUCAUCUUCCUUUCCCUUCCUUUGAAAGGAAUUCAGUAAUUGAGUAGUUGCCAGACUUACUGAGAUAAUCUAUGCUAAAUGAAGCAAAAUAUGAAGAAAUGGGGAAGCAAAGAGGUGCAAACACUUAAUGGCUCAUAGGAGCAGAUGUGCCUUUUGUCUGGGAUGGUGUGUCAGAGAGGAGGCGCGAGAAGUUAGAACUCACCACCAGGAGCUGCUGGGCAGCUUCUGCAUCUGCCUCUGGUCUUUGAGCAUCUUCAGCUGCUGUAAUUUAGAUACUUCAAGGGUUCUGUUUAAAUUGAAACUACUGCAGCAUUAUAUGCAAAGAGAAACCAAUCUCAGAGGGGGAAAAAAAGAAGAACCAAAUAUAGAUUAAAAAGCUGCCUCUCCAAAGGUUUUGAAAUAUGAGAAGCCUGGC
Molecule: long non-coding RNA, 442 nt
Organism: Hirundo rustica (Barn swallow)
Lineage: Eukaryota; Metazoa; Chordata; Aves; Passeriformes; Hirundinidae
Exons: 3
Source: RefSeq, a predicted model, not a curated record